Molecule: long non-coding RNA, 616 nt
Filed under: Struthio camelus australis
Lineage: Eukaryota; Metazoa; Chordata; Aves; Struthioniformes; Struthionidae
Description: lncRNA (ENSSCUG00000007385.1)
Source: RNAcentral
GGGAAUGCAAGAAAACUAUUUGGGUACAUGAUCAUAAAGUGCCUUAGCCUAAACUACUACCUUCUGCUACAGCUGCGCUCUGAGUGCUCUGCUUGUUCAGUAGAGAAGGGCAACAGGCUUUGUGAAACCACAACCAACACAGUAACCUUUAUUCUUUGAUUUUUUUCUUUUUCAUUGGAUCAGCAUUGAAAAUCACUUUGUAUGGAGAGCUAUGAGCCACAAUAGCACCGUAUCAAUUAUAAAUACAGGGAAGUAUCAGCAGAAAAAGCCUCUAAUCACCUUUGAAUUCUGACUAGAUCAGGAAGUCUCAGCUACUGAUCUUCAUAACUUAAGCAGGAAAGAAAAAUAAAGAAGAACGCACAGAGAGCUGAAAUCUUCUAGUACGGGUCAGAACGUGUCUCAGUGGCCUCCAGAAAAGGAAGACAGAACGAAUACAGCAUGACUAAACUCAGAAUCCUACAACAGGACAGGAGGCUUUUCUUAUGCGGUGUAGUUGUUCUCAAGAUUGUGUCAAAAAAAAGAAGCAAGGAAAAAUUUGACUUGGUAGAAGAGAGAGGACAUGAAGAAGAUAUGUGGGGAGGAACCAAGAAAGAUACAGAGAAGACAAAUCAGGAUG